ACGCUCGACAUCUACGGGAGGCAGCAGUGGGGAAUAUUGCACAAUGGGGGAAACCCUGAUGCAGCGACGCCGCGUGGAGGAAGAAGGUCUUCGGAUUGUAAACUCCUGUUGUUGGGGAAAAAGNGGAUGGUACCCCAACAAGGAAGUGACGGCUAACUACGUGCCACAGCCGCGGUAAUCUGAGCGGGCUGGCAAGGC
This 198-nucleotide ribosomal RNA is filed under the name uncultured bacterium. Its description in RNAcentral is "partial 16S ribosomal RNA". It matches the Rfam family "Bacterial small subunit ribosomal RNA", at positions 328 to 539 of the family's 1533-position model. The record is from RNAcentral.